UCCAGUUGAUCCUGCUGGAGACUACCGCUAUUGGAUUUCGACUAAGCCAUGCACGUUCUGGUCUCAGGCAUUGGGACCAAGCAGACAGCUCAGUAACACGUGGACAACCUACCCUUGGAAGGGGGACAACCUCGGGAAACUGAGGCUAAUACCCCGUAGGUGACGAGCUCUGGAAUGACCGUCACUAAUAUGAGCCAGCUUGUUCCAGCUGGUUUCGUCCGAGGAUGGGUCUGCGGCGGAUUAGGCUGAUGUUAGGGUAACGGCCUAACAUACCUUCGAUCUGUAUCGGCUAUGAGAGUAGGAGCCGGGAGAUGGAUACUGAGACAAAGAUCCAGGCUCUACGGAGCGCAGCAGGCGCGAAAACUCUGCAAUGCGCGCAAGCGUGACAGGGGGAAUCCAAGUGUAUUUGUAAAACAAGUACUUUUGUAGUGUGUAAAAAGUACUGCGAAUAAGGGGUGGGCAAGACUAGUGCCAGCCUCCGCGGUAACACUAGCAACCCGAGUGGUAGUCGUUUUUAUUUGGCUUAAGCGUCCGUAGUCAGGCCGUUAAGUCUUCUGUGAAAUCCUGCGGCUUAACCGUAGGACUUGCAGAGGGUACUGGCGGUCUUGGAGCCGGGAGAGGUUAGGGGUAUUUCUGGGGUAGCGGCGAAAUGCUAUAAUCCUGGAAGGACCACCGAUAGCGAAGGCACCUAACUAGAACGGGCUCGACGAUGAGGGACGAGAGCUAGGGGAGCAAACCGGAUUAGAUACCCGGGUAGUCCUAGCCGUAAACGAUGCAGACUGAGUGUCUCCUGAACCUUGAGUUCAGGAGGUGCUGAAGGGAAACCGUUAAGUCUGCCGCCUGGGGAGUACGGUCGCAAGGCUGAAACUUAAAGGAAUUGGCGGGGGAGCACCACAAGGGGUGGAGUCUGCGGUUCAAUUGGAUACAACGCCGAGAAACUUACCAGGGGCGACGGCAGAAUGAGAGCCAAGCUAAUGACUUUGCUUAACAAGCCGAGAGGUAGUGCAUGGCCGUCGUCAGCUCGUACCGUGAGGCGUGCGGUUAAGUCCGUUAACGAGCGAGACCCGUGCUUUUAUUUGCCAGCUUUCCCGAUGGGGAAAGUGCACUAUAAAAGGACCGCUGGCGAUGAGUCAGAGGAAGGCGCGGUCGACGAUAGGUCUGUAUGCUCCGAAUCUCCUGGGCUACACGUGGACUACAAUGGCACGGACAAUUGGAUGCAACGCCGAAAGGCGAAGCCAAUCCCCUAAACCGUGUCUUAGUUCGGAUCGAGGGUUGAAACUCACCCUCGUGAAGAUGAAAUCCCUAGUAAUCGCUGGUGACUAUCCAGCGGUGAAUAUGUCCCUGCUCCUUGCACACACCGCCCGUCAAACCAACCGAGUGGAUCUCGGACGAGGCCCUCUCAUUUGGGAAGGUCAAGUUCAAGGUUCGCAAGGGGGGUUAAGUCGUAACAAGGUA
This 1455-nucleotide ribosomal RNA is filed under the name metagenome. RNAcentral's name for it is "bacterial SSU rRNA". It matches the Rfam family "Archaeal small subunit ribosomal RNA". The record is from RNAcentral.